UGGGACUGAGACACGGCCCAGACUCCUACGGGAGGCAGCAGUGGGGAAUAUUGCACAAUGGGGGAAACCCUGAUGCAGCCAUGCCGCGUGUGUGAAGAAGGCCUUCGGGUUGUAAAGCACUUUCAGUUGUGAGGAAAAGUUAGUAGUUAAUACCUGCUAGCCGUGACGUUAACAACAGAAGAAGCACCGGCUAACUCCGUGCCAGCAGCCGCGGUAAUACGGAGGGUGCGAGCGUUAAUCGGAAUUACUGGGCGUAAAGCGCACGCAGGCGGUUUGUUAAGCUAAAUGUGAAAGCCCCGGGCUCAACCUGGGAUGGUCAUUUAGAACUGGCAGACU
RNAcentral lists this ribosomal RNA (336 nucleotides) under uncultured bacterium. RNAcentral's name for it is "bacterial SSU rRNA". It matches the Rfam family "Bacterial small subunit ribosomal RNA", at positions 314 to 642 of the family's 1533-position model. The record is from RNAcentral.